This 470-nucleotide ribosomal RNA is filed under the name uncultured bacterium. Its description in RNAcentral is "partial 16S ribosomal RNA". It matches the Rfam family "Bacterial small subunit ribosomal RNA", at positions 27 to 507 of the family's 1533-position model. The record is from RNAcentral.
GGACGAACGCUGGCGGCGUGCUUAACACAUGCAAGUCGAACGGAAAGGCCCUGCUUGCAGGGUGCUCGAGUGGCGAACGGGUGAGUAACACGUGGGUGAUCUGCCCCUUACUUUGGGAUAAGCCUGGGAAACUGGGUCUAAUACUGGAUAGGACCAUGCUGUAGGUGGUGUGGUGGAAAGAUUAGUUUCGGUAAGGGAUGAGCUCGCGGCCUAUCAGCUUGUUGGUGGGGUAAUGGCCUACCAAGGCGUCGACGGGUAGCCGGCCUGAGAGGGUGGACGGCCACAUUGGGACUGAGAUACGGCGCAGACUCCUACGGGAGGCAGCAGUGGGGGAUAGUGCACAAUGGGCGCAAGCCGGAUGCAGCGACGCCGCGUGGGGGAUGACGGCCUUCGGGUUGUAAACUACUUUCGGCCAUGACGAAGCCCUUGUGGUGACGGUAGUGGUAGAAGAAGCACCGGCUAACUACGUG